RNAcentral lists this ribosomal RNA (256 nucleotides) under uncultured prokaryote. RNAcentral describes it as "partial 16S ribosomal RNA". It matches the Rfam family "Bacterial small subunit ribosomal RNA", at positions 522 to 777 of the family's 1533-position model. The record is from RNAcentral.
AAUACGUAGGGGGCAAGCGUUGUCCGGAUUUAUUGGGCGUAAAGAGCGUGUAGGCGGCCAGGCAGGUCCGUUGUGAAAACUCGAGGCUCAACCUCGAGAUGUCGAUGGAAACCGUUUGGCUAGAGUCCGGAAGAGGAGAGUGGAAUUCCUGGUGUAGCGGUGAAAUGCGCAGAUAUCAGGAAGAACACCCGUGGCGAAGGCGGCUCUCUGGGACGGUACUGACGCUGAGACGCGAAAGCGUGGGGAGCGAACAGGA